Molecule: ribosomal RNA, 311 nt
Filed under: uncultured bacterium
Lineage: Bacteria
Description: bacterial SSU rRNA
Rfam family: Bacterial small subunit ribosomal RNA
Source: RNAcentral
CCAGAAAGUCACGGCUAACUACGUGCCAGCAGCCGCGGUAAUACGUAGGUGGCAAGCGUUAUCCGGAUUUAUUGGGCGUAAAGAGAGUGCAGGCGGUUUUCUAAGUCUGAUGUGAAAGCCUUCGGCUUAACCGGAGAAGUGCAUCGGAAACUGGAUAACUUGAGUGCAGAAGAGGGUAGUGGAACUCCAUGUGUAGCGGUGGAAUGCGUAGAUAUAUGGAAGAACACCAGUGGCGAAGGCGGCUACCUGGUCUGCAACUGACGCUGAGACUCGAAAGCAUGGGUAGCGAACAGGAUUAGAUACCCUGGUAG